GGCACUAUGGCGGAGUGGUUAUCGCGCAGCCCUGCUAAGGCUGUUCCUUCGGGAGCAUGAGUUCGAAUCUCAUUGGUGUCG
This is a non-coding RNA of Xylaria intraflava, 81 nucleotides long. Lineage: Eukaryota; Fungi; Ascomycota; Sordariomycetes; Xylariales; Xylariaceae. The record is from the annotation of a GenBank genome assembly.